AUGUCGGUCACCGCCCUGACCGAGAGUGGUGAGAGCAGCGGCCCUCCGGGCCUCCAGGACAGCGCGGGCGACGCGAGAUCAUGAAAGUCAUGGUGAAAACCCCAAAGAAGAAGGAAGAGUUUGCUGUGCCCGAGAACAGCUCCGUCCAGCAGUUCAAAGAAGAAAUCUCUAAACGUUUCAAGUCUCAUACUGACCAACUUGUGUUGUGUUAUUUGCUGGAAAAAUUUUAAAGGCUCAAGAUACUUUGAGUCAGCAUGGAAUUCAUGAUGGACUUACUGUUCACCUUGUCAUCAAAACGCAAAACAGGCCUCAAGAUUAUUCAGCUCAGCCAACAAAUACCACUGGAAGCAAUGUUAACAGUUCAUCGGCUCCCAAUAGUAACCCCACUUGUGGUUCUGCUUCUAGCAGCCCUUUUGGUUUAGGUAGACUUGGAGGACUUGCAGGCCUGAGGAGCUAGGUUGGGUUUAAAUACUACCAACUUCUCUGAACUACAGAGCCAAAUGCAGGUGAAAACUUUUGUCCAAUCCUGAAAUGAUGGUCCAGAUCAGGGAAAAUCCCUCCGUCCAGAGCAUGCUUUCUAAUCCUGACCUGAUGAGACAAUUAAUUAUGGCCAAUCCACAGAUGCAACAGUUAAUACAAAGAAAUCCAGAAAUUAGUCAUAUGCUUAAUAAUCCAGACAUAAUGAGACAAACAUUGGAACUUGCCAGAAAUCCAGACGAUGCAGAAAAUGAGGAGAAACCUGGACCGAGCGUUGAGCAACCUAGGGAGUAUUCCUGGGGACAUAAUGCUUUAACUGCAGUGUUUACAGAUACUCAGGAACCUAUGCUGAGUGCCGCCCAAGAACAGUUUGGUGGUAAUCCAUUUGCUGCUUUAGUGAGCAGUACAUCCUCAGGUGAAGGAAGUCAGCCUUCUCCUACAGAAAAUAGGGAUCCGUUACCCAAUCCAUGGGCUCCACAGACUUCUCAGAGUUCAUCAGCUUCUAGUGGGACCACUAACAUUGUGAGUGGUACUGCUGGUAGUGCUAUCAGUACUACUGCUGGGCAGAGUACUACUGGGCCAAAUUUGGUGCCUGGAGUAGGAGCUAGUAUGUUCAAUACACCAGAAAUGCAAAGCUUAUUGCAGCAAAUAACUGAAAACCCAUAGCUUAUGCAAAACAUUUUGUCUGUCCCAUACAUGAGAAGCACGAUGCAGUCACUAAGCCAGAACCCCGACCUUGCUGCACAGAUGAUGCUGAAUAACCCGCUAUUGGCUGGAAAUCCUCAGCUUCAGGAACAAAUGAGACAACAGCUCCCAACUUUCCUCCAACAAACGCAGAAUCCUGAUUCACUAUCAGCAAUGUCAAAUCCUAGAGCAAUGCGGGCUUUGUUGCAGAUUCAGCAGGGUUUGCAGACAUUAGCUACAGAAGCUCCUGGCCUCAUCCCAGGGUUUACCCCUGGCCUGGGGGCGGUAGAAAACACUGGAGGCUCUUCAGGAACCGAUGGGUCUAGCUAGCACUGCACCUAGUGAAAAUACAAGUCCCACAAAUACUGAACCUGGACACCAACAGUUUAUUCAACAAAUGCUGUAGCCUCUUGCUGGAAUGAAUCCUCAGCUACAGAAUCCAGAAGUCAGAUUUCAGCAACAACUGGAACAGCUCAGUGCAGUGGGAUUUUUGAACCGUGAAGCAAACUUGCAAGCGCUGAUAGCAACAGGGGUGAUAUAAAGGCAGCAGUUGAAAGGUGACUGGGCUCCCAACCACCGUAG
RNA transcript from Nannospalax galili (Upper Galilee mountains blind mole rat), 1743 nucleotides. It is a transcript of the gene named ubiquilin-1 pseudogene, with no coding region annotated. The transcript is spliced from 2 exons. The record is from RefSeq and is a predicted model, not a curated record. Lineage: Eukaryota; Metazoa; Chordata; Mammalia; Rodentia; Spalacidae.